GGUCGGAUGCAUCCGAUGACUUCCUUGUGGACUCGGUUAAAUCCUGGAGUUGCGCUUGACUCGCAGUGGUGAGUGUGUCUGCAGAGUGUCAGCAGCUGAUGUUUGUGAGACGACGACCUGACCCGAAGCUUCUGCAGGAAGAUGACAGAAGAAAUGCCUGCAGGAACUGCGGAUUGAAGGUCGACCAUCAGAGAAAGGUUGGAGCUGAUGUUCACGGUCCUCAGCUUUGAACUUAAACAAUUAUUCACUGUAAACAGAUGUUUGUCUUAAUAAAAUGCCAGAACUGAUCAUAUUUGACUCAUUUGUACACUUCACAGCUUCUUGU
This is a long non-coding RNA of Nematolebias whitei (Rio pearlfish), 325 nucleotides long. RefSeq lists it as uncharacterized. The transcript has 4 exons. Lineage: Eukaryota; Metazoa; Chordata; Actinopteri; Cyprinodontiformes; Rivulidae. The record is from RefSeq and is a predicted model, not a curated record.